RNAcentral lists this transfer RNA (73 nucleotides) under Candidatus Uhrbacteria bacterium. RNAcentral describes it as "tRNA-Ser". It matches the Rfam family "tRNA". Rfam says of the family: Transfer RNA (tRNA) molecules are approximately 80 nucleotides in length. Their secondary structure includes four short double-helical elements and three loops (D, anti-codon, and T loops). The record is from RNAcentral. Lineage: Bacteria; Candidatus Uhriibacteriota.
GGGCCAGUAGUGUAUCUGGUGAGCACACCGUGUUUGACACUCGGUGGAACGGGUUCGAUUCCCGUCUGGUCCA